UACGUAGGGUGCGAGCGUUAAUCGGAAUUACUGGGCGUAAAGUGUGCGCAGGUGGCUGAGCAAGUCGAGUGUGAAAUCCCCGGGCUUAACUUGGGAAUUGCGCUCGAAACUACUUGGCUCGAGUGUGGCAGAGGAAGGUGGAAUUCCAGGUGUAGCGGUGAAAUGCGUAGAUAUCUGGAGGAACACCGGUGGCGAAGGCGGCAUCCUGGACCGACAUUGACGCUGAGGCGCGAAAGCCAGGGGAGCAAACGGG
Molecule: ribosomal RNA, 253 nt
Filed under: uncultured bacterium
Lineage: Bacteria
Description: partial 16S ribosomal RNA
Rfam family: Bacterial small subunit ribosomal RNA
Source: RNAcentral